AUUGAACGCUGGCGGUAGGCCUAACACAUGCAAGUCGAACGGCAGCACAGUAAGAGCUUGCUCUUACGGGUGGCGAGUGGCGGACGGUUGAGGAAUACAUCGGAAUCUACUUUUUCGUGGGGGAUAACGUAGGGAAACUUACGCUAAUACCGCAUACGACCUACGGGUGAAAUCAGGGGAUCUUCGGACCUUGCGCGAUUGAAUGAGCCGAUGUCGGAUUAGCUAGUUGGCGGGGUAAAGGCCCACCAAGGCGACGAUCCGUAGCUGGUCUGAGAGGAUGAUCAGCCACACUGGAACUGAGACACGGUCCAGACUCCUACGGGAGGCAGCAGUGGGGAAUAUUGGACAAUGGGCGCAAGCCUGAUCCAGCCAUACCGCGUGGGUGAAGAAGGCCUUCGGGUUGUAAAGCCCUUUUGUUGGGAAAGAAAAGCAGCAGGUUAAUACACCGCUGUUCUGGCGGUACCCAAAGAAUAAGCACCGGCUAACUUCGUG
This 492-nucleotide ribosomal RNA is filed under the name uncultured bacterium. RNAcentral describes it as "partial 16S ribosomal RNA". It matches the Rfam family "Bacterial small subunit ribosomal RNA", at positions 30 to 507 of the family's 1533-position model. The record is from RNAcentral.